AACGCACGAGACCUGCGGACCUGCGGAAGGAUCAUUAAUGUGAUGGAUGUGCUAGUCUUGACCUCUUAAUCCUCCUUCAAUUUAUUGUUAGGUGGGGGCCUGACGGCUCAAGGGGAAAGGAAAUAAGAACCCGUUCGGGUGUGCACUCCGAUACAAUCCAAUUUUCUCUUAUACCUUGUGCAUCUUUGCCUGCUGAGCAUGAAAGGAAUGUUGAAGCAACAUUCCUGAUUGAUCAUGUAG
Molecule: unclassified non-coding RNA, 240 nt
Filed under: soil metagenome
Description: partial contains 5.8S ribosomal RNA, internal transcribed spacer 2, and large subunit ribosomal RNA
Source: RNAcentral